GACGAAAUGGCUGAUAUAAUAGCGAUGGAUUGUAAAUCUAUUAAUGAGGAUUGUUUUUCUCUUUUGUU
This 68-nucleotide transfer RNA is filed under the name Lepidozona coreanica. Its description in RNAcentral is "tRNA-Tyr". The record is from RNAcentral. Lineage: Eukaryota; Metazoa; Mollusca; Polyplacophora; Chitonida; Ischnochitonidae.